CGUGACGUCACGUUGCGACUCAAGUUUGUGGGGACGCGUCGCGCGGCAAGGUUGCUUUACGGCUGCUGGGUGAUGGUUUCUGUUCUGUGACAAGGAUCCCUAGGCAGGCUGUCGGAAAAGGUCUGGAUGAGUCGAACCUACCUGGGGAAAGCAUAGAAUACAUAUUUUUGAUUCAGUGAAUGAAAAUGAAAACCUGAUACAAGACUGGAUUUUGCCACUUGAAAAAUGGAAAUUAAACGUAAAAAAAAUAAAUCUUAAUUAUUGCACACAUACAUGUGGUGAGUUAUAAUUUGUCGUAAAAAUGGCUUUUUCUCUUCAGAAUUUAUAAUCCUGCCCUAACUUUGAUGUGAACUAAUUUAAGGAGAUAAUAUAUUAGUCUUGCAUUCCAGGUGAGAAAAGCAUCUUUGCAUAUAGACUAAAUUUUUAUAAAAAUAGUAUAGUACAUGACAUAGUGUGUGAAUUUAAUAAUCGUGUGUAGCAGAGGGUAGUAGAAUGCACCCACCCUUCUGCACUCACUUCACAUUGUGAAAUAAACUCAUGAUCCAUAAUUGUAAUACAUUCUGUGAUCCUUAUACUGUAUUUAUAUAAUGACAUUUCUGUGCCUGAGGAAAGCUUAAAAUUUUAUCUUGUGGAUCACAAAAAGAACCUAACACAGA
RNAcentral lists this long non-coding RNA (656 nucleotides) under Fukomys damarensis (Damara mole-rat). Its description in RNAcentral is "lncRNA (ENSFDAG00000023221.1)". The record is from RNAcentral. Lineage: Eukaryota; Metazoa; Chordata; Mammalia; Rodentia; Bathyergidae.